CCCUCUCUCUCACCUCACCCGACCCCCACCAUAUACGCAGCUCCGUCAACUCUCCCGGCCGCACUUCCACCAUGCUUCCCACCGGCACUAGCUCGUCCGCCGCUUCUUCCCUGCAUCCGUCCACGGCGUGGCCUCCGAUUCAUCCCCGUGUUCCCGUAAACUUCAGCCCGACCCAACGAUUUCGUUCUCUUUUUUCUCGAUCUGGAUCUGCAUUUUUUUCCGAUUUGGAUUUGUAUCCUUUUUUCCAGAGCCUCCUCUCCACUUUUGUUACCACGGCCGGCUAGCUGAGAUCUCUCCAGAGAAACGAGAGCCAGGGAGCUCGCCGCCUGUUUUUUUUGUCUGGAUCCCCGCGCGUUGGACCCGUGCAUCUCCUCCUGGGAUACACGGCUCAGCCCUCAAAACCUAUGAUUUGUGAUUUGUUCCUUCCUGAAUAUAUGCGUUUUGAUCCACCGCGGCCCACCACUGCAUCCUCGGGUCCGGCGGCCGGCCUCCGUACACUGCAGCGAGCGGAGCCGGCCGCUCCCUACCGCGCCGCAUCCCAACCUGUCGUCGUUCCCAAGAUAAGUCCCAGACUGGUGCACCGCGCGAGAUCCGGCGCUGUAGCUCGCGCCAAGGUCGCUGGCGCUGCAGCUCGCGCCAUGGCCACCAGUGAUCCAUCCUGCAGCUCGGAAGGAAGGCACGAGCGGAGCUUCUUACCCAGUCCGUCCACCCUUUUUUCAAGAUUUUUUUUCACUUCGUGAUCUUCCUUUUCUUUUUCGAUCUGCUUCUGCACGAAUUUUCUUGGAUGCACAGAGGUGGGGAGCCAUCAAUUUGUGUUUUUCACGAGUCAACGAUUUGAUUUUCAUCUCCGUGGAAUCUGCACAGGAUCCAUUUUAUUUGUCAGAACAAUAUUCUUUUCUUUCUCACGGGGCGAGGGAGGCCUGGUUGCAAGAUUCAAUAUCUGUAAUUGGGCACGUGGAUAUGAGGUUGGUUUUUCUUGUUACUUCUGUCCGCUGAACUCAUUUAAUUGAAGAUUCCCAUUUACAAUGUGCCAUCCAAACACAUUAAUCGGAGUAAUUUGAUUGUAAAUUCGAAAUGUGUUCCCAGACUUUCUGUUUGAACAUGUACUUUUGGUGAAUGUCAUAUCAAAUUGCAAUUUGAGAUUUGUUCAUUAAUAUGUAUUUUUGAGUGGAUGUCAGAUCGAAGUCCAGAAGAAGGAUUUGCAUAUCUGGAUGCUCGAUCUGGAAUUUCCUUUGGAAGCUAUAGUGUAAUACAAUUGGCUGAUUCCGGUGCUGCGCGGCGGUAUCCUGGAGCGCUGACGGCGUGCAGGAGUCGGGGAAGAAGACCAGCUGGGCACGGAUGCCGUUUUCCAUAGCUUUUUUCUGAAGACCAAUCGCUUGCCGCAACUCCGCAAGGGCUAAGCGUUUCUAUUUCAACGAUAAUGGAAACCUCUGUAACCCCCUUCUUGAAUUUCAAUGCCCUUUGUGUUUCUCUUUCAGUU
Molecule: long non-coding RNA, 1480 nt
Organism: Lolium perenne
Lineage: Eukaryota; Viridiplantae; Streptophyta; Magnoliopsida; Poales; Poaceae
Source: RefSeq, a predicted model, not a curated record